AGGUAUCCACUGAGAUCAAUCUUGAAUUUUUUUUCUUAUUGUAGAUCAUUUUUCUCCAAGUAGGAUCUCAACCUUUUGAACCUUUGAUCAAUUGUUGAUCUCUGACUAUAGUGUCAACACUUGAACUGCAGCCUUUCUUCCUUUUUGUUUAAUGUAGAAGAAAAACAUCCUUCACCUUGGGCAUGUGGGAAGAUGGGACGCCCAACACUUGGACGUUGGAAAGAGAGGAAGAAGGGGUGGCAUGAAGAAGGAG
This 253-nucleotide long non-coding RNA is filed under the name Elaeis guineensis (African oil palm). RNAcentral describes it as "long non-coding RNA (EGUI_LNC017055)". Lineage: Eukaryota; Viridiplantae; Streptophyta; Magnoliopsida; Arecales; Arecaceae. The record is from RNAcentral.